UUCUUAGAAUAAGUAUGUCUCCAUGCAACAUUUGGGACAUACUUAUGCUAAAA
RNAcentral lists this microRNA precursor (53 nucleotides) under Homo sapiens (human). RNAcentral describes it as "mir-1302 microRNA precursor family". It matches the Rfam family "mir-1302 microRNA precursor family". The record is from Rfam by way of RNAcentral. Lineage: Eukaryota; Metazoa; Chordata; Mammalia; Primates; Hominidae.